UAAGCUCAGAACUCUGCCCGAAGCCCUUC
This 29-nucleotide non-coding RNA is filed under the name Homo sapiens (human). The record is from RNAcentral. Lineage: Eukaryota; Metazoa; Chordata; Mammalia; Primates; Hominidae.